Sorex araneus (European shrew) is the source of this 160-nucleotide small nuclear RNA. Its record names the gene U1. It matches the Rfam family "U1 spliceosomal RNA". From Rfam's summary of the family: U1 is a small nuclear RNA (snRNA) component of the spliceosome (involved in pre-mRNA splicing). Its 5' end forms complementary base pairs with the 5' splice junction, thus defining the 5' donor site of an intron. Lineage: Eukaryota; Metazoa; Chordata; Mammalia; Eulipotyphla; Soricidae. The record is from Ensembl.
AUACUUACCUUGAAGAGAAGAUAUCAUGAUCACACAGACAAUUUUCCCAGGGUAAGGCUUAUCCAUUGCACUCCAGAAGUGCUGACCCCUGAAACUUUCCCAAUGUGGGAAAAUUGACAGCAUGAUAUGUGCUAGUGAGGGCCUAACAUUUUCACUUUCC